This 506-nucleotide ribosomal RNA is filed under the name uncultured bacterium. Its description in RNAcentral is "partial 16S ribosomal RNA". It matches the Rfam family "Bacterial small subunit ribosomal RNA", at positions 30 to 523 of the family's 1533-position model. The record is from RNAcentral.
AUUGAACGCUGGCGGCAUGCUUUACACAUGCAAGUCGAACGGUAACAUAAGAAAGCUUGCUUUCUUGAUGACGAGUGGCGAACGGGUGAGUAAUACAUCGGAACGUACCCUGUAGUGGGGGAUAACUACUCGAAAGAGUGGCUAAUACCGCAUACAACCUGAGGGUAAAAGUGGGGGACCGCAAGGCCUCACGCUAUAGGAGCGGCCGAUGGAAGAUUAGGUAGUUGGUGGGGUAAAGGCCUACCAAGCCGACGAUCUUUAGCGGGUCUGAGAGGACGAUCCGCCACACUGGGACUGAGACACGGCCCAGACUCCUACGGGAGGCAGCAGUGGGGAAUUUUGGACAAUGGGCGAAAGCCUGAUCCAGCAAUGCCGCGUGAGUGAAGAAGGCCUUCGGGUUGUAAAGCUCUUUUGUUUGGGAAGAAAUCCUUAAGGCUAAUAUCCUUGGGGGAUGACGGUACCAAAAGAAUAAGCACCGGCUAACUACGUGCCAGCCGCCGCUGUAA